GCCAACACAGCCAUCUAAACACUGACAGUAAAGGUAACCACAGACUUCCUCUUCUAUUGCUUAGCUUCUAGCACAAAGCUCACAUUUUCAGCAAGGUUGGUGUUACCCAGACAGACAACUCUUUUUCUCUACAAAUGCUUUUUCAUUUGUCGUCAACUGAGUAAACAAGUGUAUCAUGUUUGUAUAGAAUGAGGGUGCGUUCUGUUCUGUUGGUUACCAAGACAAACGCAGUACAGAAGAAUCCCUCAAAGCAUCCCCUGUUUGGAUGAAAGCCCAGGAACACAAGAACUCAUCUUCAAGAGCACUAUCAGACCGUAGACUCUACGCUACUUAAAAGGAUGAACAGAGAAAUCGUCUAGACCAGCUGCAGCUGCUACCACUGUCCUCUCCAGCUGGUUAACACAUAAGGAUUUUAAUCAUGGGCCUCAGGACAGAAUCACAGAAAAUACAUCUGACAUGUGAGAAUGGAUGCCACAGGUGAAGAGAAUGAAAAAGGAAGAAAUAUCAUCAUAGGAAUGCCAAGGUGGUUGUUUUCAUCAAGGAGAUUAACUUGAGCCAUGUUGAAAGCAGUCUGGAAGACAUUAAUGUGCAAUGUUACCAACCAGUAUUUGGUGAGAAAGAGUUAUUCUCUCCUUGUGGUUUUCUAUGUGGUACAGAAUUAUGAUUGUUCUCGAGGAAGGAAUAUUUGUUAACUGGAGGACAGUAUGAAACAUGAUCUUCAGCCUUCUCACCUAUGGAAGAGAAAAAUGGUGAUAACCCAGAGCUAUGCCCUUACUUCCUACCUCCUGACAAGGCCCUAGCCCAAAGUGCUAGGACACACAGAAUUCUGGACACGACAUGAGAAAUUGCUGGCUGUGACCAUAGAUAGCCCCUCUAAGGAUAGCUGGACUUCCCAGUAGGGAACAAUUAGAGAUUCUACUCUCACCGUGCCAGAGUUUGUCCCGAGCACCUUCACAAUUACUUCCUAAAGUGAAGAAGAACUCCUUUUACCUGCUUUAAAAACAUCAGUCUCAACAGGUGCUCCAUGUCCCUGGUACUGCAGGAUUCACAGGUCAGUGAUGUUUGAGUUUUACUCUGUUGCACAUGGGAGCAGUACUCUAAAGCAAGUGGCUGGAAGAAGGGAUAAAAACAUAUGUGCUUUUCCUUCGAUGGUUUUAUGAAGAAACACAUCAUUCUUGUAGGGAAAAGCUAUUUCAGGGGGAAUUUGUGAUAGUAAGGGCUGCUCAUGCCAGCCCCAGCUCAGGAGAGUCCAUAAGGCACAACCUUCUCCUCAGCAUUUUUGUUAGCACAAAUAUUGUAAGUGCUGAGGGCAUGAGAUGACACACCAAAUCCUUGACUCGAAACAGGGACGUGGACAGCCCUCAUACUGAGUGCCUUCUGCUCAGGAUGUUGGAUUUAUACUCAACAUUAUUUGAAUUUAAUUAAUUACACUAAAACCAUUUCAGCACGCAGUCAUUGAUUCAUCUUUUGUAAUAAAAAAAUAGUAAGGCUGUGUGUGUUGAUAAAUAGAGAGCUGGAAGAAGGCAGCUCUACUGCAAGGGCAUUGAAAUGAUGCCUGAGUAAAGCAGACAUAGACCAGAAAGAUAGUAAUUAUUUCUCCUUAGAGCUGAGUCCACGAGUUUCUGAUUAUUUGUUUACCAUUUGAAACAAUUAUAAAAUCAAUAAAGAAUGACAACUGUUAAUUUGUGUUUUCUCACAAGUCUGAAGAUAAAAGAAGAUGAAUAGAAGUGUAGGUAGUCAAAAAAAAAAAACAUCACUGAUCAAAACCUGUAGAAAAAUACCAUUUAUUUUAAGCACUUCAUAAAGGCUACAGCUAAAAAGGGUGCUAGAUUACUGAAAUCAUAUAGCUUCUAUGUGAGUAAAAUGCUGUAUUAUGUCUUCUGGGUCACUGCAGAUGUGGCCUGUAAUGUUUAAGUGAAAGCACCUGAAAGUUUUAUUUCACUCUGCUUCAACAGCAUGCAGAAACUAGGCAUUCAUCUGCCUGAGCACACUGAAAACUUAAUUUCAGAGCACACCUAUGCACCAAAAUAGUGUCAGCAUCUGUACAAAGCAUAAUGAUGGUUCCUGCUGCUUUCUUUAACAUAAGCAUGUGUCAGCACUGACCAGCACUGAUCGUAUUGCUUCCUUUCAUGCCAUAGACCAACAUCUAAAGCUUUUUAGCAGGAUGCAGAAGAUUCGGUUCAAUUCUCUUAUAUCAUAGAGGAAUGUACAAGGGAUCAAAGGGAAGACAUUGAACUGUUUCCCUUAUUGGAGGCACAUUUUGGGACCAAAAAUAAUCCCGAACUGAGCCAGAAAGGAGAGCACGAGUUGCAACAUGCCACUACAAUGCUAGUGGUUGCCUAAGGUUUUCUAUGGUUUUUGUCUCUACCAUGAAGAUUUUUUCUUGAAUUAACACAGAAAUCAGCUUCAGAUUAAAAAGAAAAAAAAAAAAAGGAAA
Long non-coding RNA from Meleagris gallopavo (turkey), 2437 nucleotides. The record is from Ensembl. NCBI's taxonomy places the organism in Eukaryota, Metazoa, Chordata, Aves, Galliformes, Phasianidae.